AACUGCGAAUGGCUCAUUAAAUCAGUUAUGAUCUACGUGACAUAUUCUUUACUACUUGGAUAACCGUGGUAAUUCUAGAGCUAAUACAUGCAAAAAAGCCCUGACUUCGGAAGGGGUGCACUUAUUAGAUAAAGCCAACGCUGGGUAAAACCAGUUUCCCUUGGUGAUUCAUAAUAAUUAAGCGGAUCGCAUGGCCUUGUGCUGGCGACGGUCCACUCGAUUUUCUGCCCUAUCAUGGUUGAGAUUGUAAGAUAGAGGCUUACAAUGCCUACAACGGGUAACGGGGAAUUAGGGUUCGAUUCCGGAGAGGGAGCCUGAGAAACGGCUACCACAUCCAAGGAAGGCAGCAGGCGCGCAAAUUACCCAAUACCGACAUGGUGAGGUAGUGACAAUAAAUAACAAUGCAGGGCCUUUAAGGUCUUGCAAUUGGAAUGAGUACAAUUUAAAUCCCUUAACGAGGAUCAAUUGGAGGGCAAGUCUGGUGCCAGCAGCCGCGGUAAUUCCAGCUCCAAUAGCGUAUAUUAAAGUUGUUGCAGUUAAAACGUCCGUAGUCAAACUUUAGCCUUUAGGCGAGGUGGCCUGGUCUUCAUUGAUCAAGCUCGCUUCUGCCGAGGCUUUUGUAUUUGGUUAUGCUAUGGGUGGCUUCGGUCGCUUAUAGUCUCUAGCCAAAUGAUUACCAUGAGCAAAUCAGAGUGUUUAAAGCAGGCUUUCAAGCUUGAAUGUGUUAGCAUGGAAUAAUGAAAUAUGACUCUAGUCCCUAUUUCGUUGGUUCAGGAACUUGAGUAAUGAUGAAUAGAAACGGUUGGGGGCAUUUGUAUUUGGUCGCUAGAGGUGAAAUUCUUGGAUUGACCGAAGACAAACUACUGCGAAAGCAUUUGACCCAGGACGUUUUCAUUGAUCAAGGUCUAAAGUUAAGGGAUCGAAGACGAUUAGAUACCGUCGUAGUCUUAACCACAAACUAUGCCGACUAGAGAUUGGGCCUGUUUAUUAUGACUGGCUCAGCAUCUUAGCGAA
RNAcentral lists this ribosomal RNA (1014 nucleotides) under Actinomucor elegans var. kuwaitensis. RNAcentral describes it as "SSU rRNA". It matches the Rfam family "Eukaryotic small subunit ribosomal RNA", at positions 85 to 1096 of the family's 1831-position model. The record is from RNAcentral. Lineage: Eukaryota; Fungi; Mucoromycota; Mucoromycetes; Mucorales; Mucoraceae.